GGCGGCGGCGCCACCACGCGCCUUCCUCAGCCGCUGUUAACCCCGGGGUCUAGAGAAGCACUGAGAGGACUCCUCAGCCUGAUCUCCUGCCCUGGGAGAAGCCAGCUGCCAUAUCAUGAGAACGUUUAAGCAUCCUUGAGGAGCGGUCCUUGUGCUUUCCAGUGACUGCAGCCCUGGCCAACCUCUUGAUGGCCUCCUCAUGAGAGCUGAUGAGCCAGGACCACCCAAUGAAGCCAUUCCUGGAUUCGUGUCCUGCAGACACG
This is a long non-coding RNA of Pan troglodytes (chimpanzee), 263 nucleotides long. RefSeq lists it as uncharacterized. The transcript has 3 exons. Lineage: Eukaryota; Metazoa; Chordata; Mammalia; Primates; Hominidae. The record is from RefSeq and is a predicted model, not a curated record.